GAUGAACGCUGGCGGCGUGCCUAAUACAUGCAAGUCGAGCGAACAGAUGAGGAGCUUGCUCCUCUGACGUUAGCGGCGGACGGGUGAGUAACACGUGGAUAACCUACCUAUAAGACUGGGAUAACUUCGGGAAACCGGAGCUAAUACCGGAUAAUAUAUUGAACCGCAUGGUUCAAUAGUGAAAGACGGUUUUGCUGUCACUUAUAGAUGGAUCCGCGCCGCAUUAGCUAGUUGGUAAGGUAACGGCUUACCAAGGCGACGAUGCGUAGCCGACCUGAGAGGGUGAUCGGCCACACUGGAACUGAGACACGGUCCAGACUCCUACGGGAGGCAGCAGUAGGGAAUCUUCCGCAAUGGGCGAAAGCCUGACGGAGCAACGCCGCGUGAGUGAUGAAGGUCUUCGGAUCGUAAAACUCUGUUAUUAGGGAAGAACAAAUGUGUAAGUAACUAUGCACGUCGUGACGGUACCUAAUCAGAAAGCCACGGCUAACUACGUG
Molecule: ribosomal RNA, 497 nt
Filed under: uncultured bacterium
Lineage: Bacteria
Description: partial 16S ribosomal RNA
Rfam family: Bacterial small subunit ribosomal RNA
Source: RNAcentral